Long non-coding RNA from Musca domestica (house fly), 643 nucleotides. RefSeq lists it as uncharacterized. Lineage: Eukaryota; Metazoa; Arthropoda; Insecta; Diptera; Muscidae. The record is from RefSeq and is a predicted model, not a curated record. The transcript is spliced from 3 exons.
UCACGUCAAAAAAAAAAAAAAAAUUCAUAAAAUUUUCAUUUUGUUUUUUUUUAAACAAAUCGCUAAACCUCAAAACUAUUUCGAAACCUUUUCAAAAUUAUCAACAAAUAUGUUGUAAAUUAAACGCUAAAUACAAUUUAAUUUUCGAAGAACAAAAUUUGAUGGCCACCAAGUGAGAAAUUUGAGGUAUUACAAAAAAAAAAACAUCUUCCGCCUUAUCAUGGAUCCCACAGGCACCCCUUGUUGUCCGUGCUGCAAUUCGCCUUGUUGCUGCUGUUGUGAGAAGUUCGUGCCGAAUUAUGAAAUAAGAGAUCGGCCGAAACGUAUCCUGUUAAAUAAAAUCUAUUGGUGUGACUGUCGUCCACCAUUGGAUAAACGGGAAUGUGAAGUUUGCAAGAAGCGUGCAGCUAAGGCGGAGAAUAAUGAACAACACCAAGAAUUUGAGGAAAAAGAUGAAGGGGUCAUAACAUAUUCAAAUAUUGCAGCAUUUAAUCGAUUACUUUAGAUGGCUGAUACAAAGGCGGAUCAAAAUGAUACGAAUAAUUCAUUACAAGCAUUCCUUAACUUAAACAGUCUUGAUAUUUUCCUAUUUUUAUCAAUGAUGCAACCCAUUUCUCCAUUGAACUCGGCUAGCUUAUCUUCA